UAACCUGCCCUUAACUCUGGGAUAAGCCUGGGAAACUGGGUCUAAUACCGGAUAUGACUCCUCAUCGCAUGGUGGGGGGUGGAAAGCUUUUUGUGGUUUUGGAUGGACUCGCGGCCUAUCAGCUUGUUGGUGAGGUAAUGGCUCACCAAGGCGACGACGGGUAGCCGGCCUGAGAGGGUGACCGGCCACACUGGGACUGAGACACGGCCCAGACUCCUACGGGAGGCAGCAGUGGGGAAUAUUGCACAAUGGGCGCAAGCCUGAUGCAGCGACGCCGCGUGAGGGAUGACGGCCUUCGGGUUGUAAACCUCUUUCAGUAGGGAAGAAGCGAAAGUGACGGUACCUGCAGAAGAAGCGCCGGCUAACUACGUGCCAGCAGCCGCGGUAAUACGUAGGGCGCAAGCGUUAUCCGGAAUUAUUGGGCGUAAAGAGCUCGUAGGCGGUUUGUCGCGUCUGCCGUGAAAGUCCGGGGCUCAACUCCGGAUCUGCGGUGGGUACGGGCAGACUAGAGUGAUGUAGGGGAGACUGGAAUUCCUGGUGUAGCGGUGAAAUGCGCAGAUAUCAGGAGGAACACCGAUGGCGAAGGCAGGUCUCUGGGCAUUAACUGACGCUGAGGAGCGAAAGCAUGGGGAGCGAACAGGAUUAGAUACCCUGGUAGUCCAUGCCGU
RNAcentral lists this ribosomal RNA (668 nucleotides) under Actinobacteridae bacterium 17-01PB. RNAcentral describes it as "bacterial SSU rRNA". It matches the Rfam family "Bacterial small subunit ribosomal RNA", at positions 122 to 803 of the family's 1533-position model. Lineage: Bacteria; Bacillati; Actinomycetota; Actinomycetes. The record is from RNAcentral.